UAUAGCCCAGGAACAUCUCCCACGAGGACAGGAAGGAUGUAAGAGCAUGAGCAAGCCAGUGACUCAGCCCUUGUAAUAGGGUCGGAGGCAGAGAAUCCCAGUGGAGAGAGGGGAGCCGGCCAAGCAGAGACAGCAAGGGGGGUUUGUCACUCCAGUGCUUUGCCGUUCACCUUCGCACCCCUGGGCCAGACUACACUCAAUCAUAGGACCUACUGAAGAGAUGAGUCUUCAGUAAAGACUUAAAGGUUGAGUCUGCGUCUCUCACAUGGAUAGUCAGACCAUUCUAUAAAAAUGGAGAUCUAUAAGAGAAAGCCCUGCCUCCAGCAGUUUGCUUAGAAAUUAUAGGGACAGUAAGGAGGCCUGUGUCUUGAGACUGUAGCGUGUAGGUAUGUACGGCAGGACCAAAUCAGAAAAGGAGCAAAUCCAUGUAAUGCUUUGUAGGUUAGAAGUGAAACCGUUGCUGGUGAAACCAUUUCUGGAGCCAUUUCUUCACUCUGGGAGAAGCAACCUCUUCUCUGGGAGUGUAGAGAAGCCAAAUACAUUUGUAGCCAGUUGUGAGGACCUGGACCUCGGCCUCUCCCUCAGAGGAGAUUUUGGCGUCUGGCAUGACUUGAACAACACAGAAAGCAGAUACUGCCAGAUGAAAACUUUUGCUGAAAAUCAGCAAAUGAAAGAACAUGGUCAUAGGAAGAAGAGGAUGAACCCUACACAUAGAUCCAACCCCAGAGGUCCUGUUCUGUCUGACAACAAAACGAGGUGACAUGACACCAGAGAUACACUUCCUACAGUUAUGAGGACUACAGCUGCCUGAGAAUGAUGUGUCCUUGAGAUCAUGUCUAAGAGAUGUCUGAUGUUCUUGCAGGCUCCACAAAUCUACACCUUUAAAAAUGUAAUUGACAGCAGAACACACUACUUGUUUGGUAAUAGCUCUC
This is a non-coding RNA of Oncorhynchus mykiss (rainbow trout), 932 nucleotides long. Lineage: Eukaryota; Metazoa; Chordata; Actinopteri; Salmoniformes; Salmonidae. The record is from RefSeq and is a predicted model, not a curated record.